UGUGAGUGAUGAGAUUUCUACCCUGAUGAAAACUGAGGGUGAAAACUGAUUUAAUGAGCCUGACGC
Molecule: small nucleolar RNA, 66 nt
Organism: Engraulis encrasicolus (European anchovy)
Lineage: Eukaryota; Metazoa; Chordata; Actinopteri; Clupeiformes; Engraulidae
Source: RefSeq, a predicted model, not a curated record